UGGAAUCACAAAUACUGGGAAAAAAGGUUGGGAGCCUUCCAACUGUUCAUCAAAAUCAACAUAUUCAUGGUAUGUCUUCCAGCAGCGUAGAAAGAAAAUCCUGGAAAACAAACAAAACACCACAAAUAGUGUGUUUAUGAAGAGAAGGCCACACCUACCCUGACAAAAUUCUCAGUCUUGCUGUGAAUCACACCAUGGAGUAAAUUCUUCAAAGAGAAGGAAGACAGAAUUUCUUUCAUGGAUUAAGAAGGAAAGUGCUAUGACAGUGGAACAACAUUACUAUCAUCUUCACUUAUAACAGUAUGAUAAGACCUCUUUAUAGAAAGUUCCACUUGGCAU
Molecule: long non-coding RNA, 339 nt
Organism: Lagopus leucura (white-tailed ptarmigan)
Lineage: Eukaryota; Metazoa; Chordata; Aves; Galliformes; Phasianidae
Exons: 3
Source: RefSeq, a predicted model, not a curated record